Molecule: non-coding RNA, 449 nt
Organism: Danio rerio (zebrafish)
Lineage: Eukaryota; Metazoa; Chordata; Actinopteri; Cypriniformes; Danionidae
Source: RefSeq, a predicted model, not a curated record
GCUAUUUUUACAUGGAGGUAAUCUUCUAUUGAUAAUUUCUGGAUUUUAAUUAUGCGUAAGUUGCAUGAAACUAUUGUUUAAUCACUCACUGUUGUUUUCAAAUUACUUAUGUAACUUGUCUUUCAGAAUUUUUUCAGCUGUUGAAUUCACCUCAGAUCAGUGUUGCUGUAAUUCCUGAUGGAAAGAAGAAUUGAAUGAGCGAGCAACACCACAACUACAGGACCUCUUCUUUCUCUUCUCAUAAUUUAACUGGAUUAUCCGUUGAAUUUGUUUCUUCCUCUGACUGCUUUCUCCACACCAACAACUACGGCUGGUCUUCAGCUGCGCUCCCCGGUCUGCUGUAUUCUCCAGUCCAGAGCUUCACUGCCCAGUGUUUGAAUUUUAAUUUAUAUAUUUAUUUAUAUAUUUAUUUACAUUUUAAUGAUUUCUUGUUUACUUUUCUUGUUUGU